This is a long non-coding RNA of Girardinichthys multiradiatus, 321 nucleotides long. RefSeq lists it as uncharacterized. The transcript has 3 exons. Lineage: Eukaryota; Metazoa; Chordata; Actinopteri; Cyprinodontiformes; Goodeidae. The record is from RefSeq and is a predicted model, not a curated record.
CGUUAUCAACCCUUGCUAUCUUCCCGAGUUUCUCCUUGUGGUUUGUUUUCUGUUUUGCCUCUGGAACUUGUGCUUUUGGAUAACCAGCCUGUACUCUGCCUGCCUGCCUUCUGACGAAAUGUUCACUUGCCACUGAAUGUCUCCCACCCGCUAACUGGUGCCAAGAAGAGAUUUUCACGUCACCUCUCAGUGGAAAAAACCCAGAAGACACCCGAUGACCACAGCCAACACGGACAGGAUGAGGAGCCCAUUCUGUUUGAGCACAUUCUUGACCCUCACCCACACUGCGUCUAAAGCCACGGCCAUCGUGAGCUACUGUCC